RNAcentral lists this ribosomal RNA (691 nucleotides) under Philadelphus schrenkii. RNAcentral describes it as "eukaryotic LSU rRNA". The stretch from base 280 to 435 matches the Rfam family "5.8S ribosomal RNA". Lineage: Eukaryota; Viridiplantae; Streptophyta; Magnoliopsida; Cornales; Hydrangeaceae. The record is from RNAcentral.
UUUAGAGGAAGGAGAAGUCGUAACAAGGUUUCCGUAGGUGAACCUGCGGAAGGAUCAUUGUCAAAACCUGCAAAAGCAGUAUGACCCGCGAACUUGUGAAAAACAAACCGGGGUGCCUCGCGUGCCCCGCUGCCCGGGCGCGCGCUCCCAGCGGGCGCGCUCCGGGCGCAACAACAACCCCCGGCGCGAACCGCGCCAAGGAAAACCAAUGAAGAUAACUUCCCAUGCUGCCCCGUUCUACGGGUGUGUGCUUGGGCAAUUGCUUCUCUUACAAAACACGACUCUCGGCAACGGAUAUCUCGGCUCUCGCAUCGAUGAAGAACGUAGCGAAAUGCGAUACUUGGUGUGAAUUGCAGAAUCUCGUGAACCAUCGAGUCUUUGAACGCAAGUUGCGCCCGAAGCCAUUAGGCCGAAGGCACGUCUGCCUGGGCGUCUCGCAACGCGUCGCCCCCAACCCCCCCUGUGGGUGCGUUGUGGGCGGAUGAUGGUCUCCCGUGCGCGAAAGCCCGCGGCUGGCCUAAAAGUGAAGUCCCCGACGAUGGAUCGUCACGACACGUGGUGGUUGAACAACCUUGUCGCGUCCUGUCGCUGGCGAACCCGUUGUCGGGCGUCUCCAAGACCCUGACGCGCAUUAUUUUACCAAUGCGCAUCGACUGCGACCCCAGGUCAGGCGGGACUACCCGCUGAGUUU